GACGAACGCUGGCGGCGUGCCUAAUACAUGCAAGUCGAACGCAUUUUCUUUCACCGUAGCUUGCUACACCGAAAGAAAAUGAGUGGCGAACGGGUGAGCAACACGUGGGUAACCUGCCCAUCAGCGGGGGAUAACACUUGGAAACAGGUGCUAAUACCGCAUAAUUCCAUUUACUGCAUGGUAGAUGGAUGAAAGGCGCUUUUGCGUCACUGAUGGAUGGACCCGCGGUGCAUUAGCUAGUUGGUGGGGUAACGGCCUACCAAGGCUGCGAUGCAUAGCCGACCUGAGAGGGUGAUCGGCCACACUGGGACUGAGACACGGCCCAGACUCCUACGGGAGGCAGCAGUUGGGAAUCUUCGGCAAUGGACGCAAGUCUGACCGAGCAACGCCGCGUGAGUGAAGAAGGUUUUCGGAUCGUAAAACUCUGUUGUUAGAAAAGAACAAGGAUGAGAGUGGAAAGUUCAUCCCUUGACGGUAUCUAACCAGAAAGCCACGGCUAACUACGUG
This 507-nucleotide ribosomal RNA is filed under the name uncultured bacterium. RNAcentral describes it as "partial 16S ribosomal RNA". It matches the Rfam family "Bacterial small subunit ribosomal RNA", at positions 28 to 507 of the family's 1533-position model. The record is from RNAcentral.